CGUUAAUGUGCACGGCGGACACAAAGUAGCUGUCUAUUCAGAUUCGUAGCUUGGUGCUCCUACCAAGGUGUUGGGUUAAGUGGAACGUAGCAAAUAUGAACAGCAAGAAUCAGUAACCGGACGGACGCCAGGAAUUUUACCUAUAUAAAAAUGAUAUUAAAUAUGUUAAAUGUUGGGAGCAGAUAGAAAGGAAACAACCUUCAUCGUGGUUAAUUAUGAUGUGACAAUCCCUUAGUACUCGUCUCCGGCUUCUAGAAGAAUUCCCGAGUUCAGUAGACUGCACUUCUAGGUCCUUAACUUAAACUAUUUGCAGUCAUGACAGGAAUGAGCAUGACAGAAGUAUAGCAAAAUAAACACAGCGAUGACUGUUUUUUUCAGCACAGCAUUUUAUCUCAGCUGAUUCUUCAUUGAACAAUUGACAUGCAUGAAACAAACUCAGCUUUGGAAUAUGAAUGACUUACCUAGAGCUUAGAUAAGUAAACGAUACGACAGGCAGUUCUCUGUAUGAGCGUGAAUGCAUGCUAUGGUUUCAAUUCACAGUAAAAACAUGAAGUAUUAUGCUCGGCUUUCAAUCACAGUGCAAGAUGAUGUCAGAAAAUAAAACGUAACCCUACUGUACUAGAAAAGGUUUGCAUUAAACACUCCCUUUUCACCAAACACAAAGUGACAACAGAAUAAGGCUCAUUUGCAUUCAGCAUAAUCAAACAACAGCACCAAAUCAGUCUCUGAGAUUCCUUUAGAUUAUUUUCUCAUUACCUAAACAAAGAUUAAACAAUCAGGUUUAAGAAAAA
Molecule: long non-coding RNA, 791 nt
Organism: Monopterus albus (swamp eel)
Lineage: Eukaryota; Metazoa; Chordata; Actinopteri; Synbranchiformes; Synbranchidae
Exons: 2
Source: RefSeq, a predicted model, not a curated record